This 468-nucleotide ribosomal RNA is filed under the name uncultured bacterium. RNAcentral's name for it is "partial 16S ribosomal RNA". It matches the Rfam family "Bacterial small subunit ribosomal RNA", at positions 28 to 507 of the family's 1533-position model. The record is from RNAcentral.
GACGAACGCUGGCGGCGUGCCUAAUACAUGCAAGUCGAACGGACAGGCGCUGAGCUUGUGGGGUGCUCGAGAGGCGAACGGGUGAGUAUCACGUGAGUAUAACGCACUUGUCUUUGGGAGAACAUCACGAGAAAGCGGCUCAUACCGGAGAGGAGCUCCUGCAGCGUGUGGGGGAAUGGAAAGUGCCGGCGGUUGGGGAUGGACUCGCGGGUUAUCCGCUUGUUGGGGGGGUAGUGGCUUACCAAGGCUUUGACGGGUACGAGGCCUGAGAGGGUGAACGGCCACCUUGGUCCUAAGGUACGGCGCAGUCUGCUACGUGACGCAGCAGGGGGGAACAUUGCGGAAUGGGCGGAAGCCUGAUGCAGCAACGCCGCGUGCGGAAUGACGGCCUUUUGGUUGUAAACCGCUUUCGCCUGUAACGAAGCGUGAGUGACGGUAAUUGGUAAAGAAGCACCGGCUAACUACGUG